This 342-nucleotide unclassified non-coding RNA is filed under the name soil metagenome. RNAcentral describes it as "partial contains 5.8S ribosomal RNA, internal transcribed spacer 2, and large subunit ribosomal RNA". The stretch from base 1 to 120 matches the Rfam family "5.8S ribosomal RNA", at positions 35 to 154 of the family's 154-position model. The record is from RNAcentral.
GAUGAAGAACGCAGCGAAAUGCGAUAAGUAAUGUGAAUUGCAGAAUUCUGUGAAUCAUCGAAUCUUUGAACGCACAUUGCGCCCGCCAGCACUCUGGCGGGCAUGCCUGUUCGAGCGUCAUUUCAACCAUCAAGCCCCCAGGGGCUUGUGCUGGGGCCCUGCGGCUGCCCGCAGGCCCUGAAAACCAGUGGCGGGCUCGCUAGUCACACCGAGCGCAGUAGCACAUCUCGCUCAGGGCGUGCGGCGGGCUCCUGCCGUGAAACCCCCCACUGUAACCCCAAAGGUUGACCUCGGAUCAGGUAGGAAUACCCGCUGAACUUAAGCAUAUCAAUAAGCGGAGGA